Non-coding RNA from Clostridium magnum DSM 2767, 233 nucleotides. Lineage: Bacteria; Bacillati; Bacillota; Clostridia; Eubacteriales; Clostridiaceae. The record is from Rfam.
GAAGCCUACAUGGCAAAGUUUAGCCAACAGCCAUUAGCGAGUCUUGGGCUCUUUGGGGUGACCCAAGGAGUCAAGCGUAGACAGUUAACUAGUGGGUCAUAAACCGAGAGAGGUUGAAGCUAGUAGCUCCGAAAUCCCAGUGGGUAAAGUCGAUAUGUUGGUCUGUAUAGAAGACAGCACUGAUAUAAUCAUUACUGGCAAGAGGAUAUCAGUUUACCCGGAGUCGUAGAGCA